This 394-nucleotide ribosomal RNA is filed under the name uncultured bacterium. Its description in RNAcentral is "partial 16S ribosomal RNA". It matches the Rfam family "Bacterial small subunit ribosomal RNA", at positions 523 to 918 of the family's 1533-position model. The record is from RNAcentral.
AUACGUAGGGUGCAAGCGUUAAUCGGAAUUACUGGGCGUAAAGCGUGCGCAGGCGGUUUUGUAAGACAGUGGUGAAAUCCCCGGGGUCAACCUGGGAACUGCCCUUGUGACUGCAAGGCUAGAGGACGGCAGAGGGGGAUGGAAUUCCGCGUGUAGCAGUGAAAUGCGUAGAUAAGCGGAGGAACACCGAUGGCGAAGGCAUCCCCUGGGCCUGUACUGACGCUCAUGCACGAAAGCGUGGGGAGCAAACAGGAUUAGAUACCCUGGUAGUCCACGCCCUAAACGAUGUCAACUGGUUGUUGGGGAUUUAUUUUCUCAGUAACGAAGCUAACGCGUGAAGUUGACCGCCUGGGGAGUACGGCCGCAAGGUUAAAACUCAAAUGAAUUGACGGGG